CCUACGGGAGGCAGCAGUGGGGAAUUUUGGACAAUGGGCGAAAGCCUGAUCCAGCAAUGCCGCGUGAGUGAAGAAGGCCUUCGGGUUGUAAAGCUCUUUUGUCAGGGAAGAAACGGUGAGGGCUAAUAUCCCUUGCUAAUGACGGUACCUGAAGAAUAAGCACCGGCUAACUACGUGCCAGCAGCCGCGGUAAUACGUAGGGUGCAAGCGUUAAUCGGAAUUACUGGGCGUAAAGCGUGCGCAGGCGGUUUUGUAAGUCUGUCGUGAAAGCCCCGGGCUCAACCUGGGAAUUGCGAUGGAGACUGCAAGGCUUGAAUCUGGCAGAGGGGGGUAGAAUUCCACGUGUAGCAGUGAAAUGCGUAGAGAUGUGGAGGAACACCGAUGGCGAAGGCAGCCCCCUGGGUCAAGAUUGACGCUCAUGCACGAAAGCGUGGGGAGCAAACAGGAUUAGAUACCCUGGUAGUCCACGCCCUAAACGAUGUCUACUAGUUGUCGGUUUUAAUUAACUUGGUAACGCAGCUAACGCGUGAAGUACGACCGCCGUGGGGGUACGUCGCAAGAUUAAAACNAAAUGAAUUGACGNUGAGAGNGCGAGACGACGACGAGGGAGGAGG
RNAcentral lists this ribosomal RNA (614 nucleotides) under uncultured bacterium. Its description in RNAcentral is "bacterial SSU rRNA". It matches the Rfam family "Bacterial small subunit ribosomal RNA", at positions 338 to 944 of the family's 1533-position model. The record is from RNAcentral.